This 778-nucleotide ribosomal RNA is filed under the name uncultured Neocallimastigales. RNAcentral describes it as "partial large subunit ribosomal RNA". It matches the Rfam family "Eukaryotic large subunit ribosomal RNA", at positions 23 to 639 of the family's 3401-position model. The record is from RNAcentral. Lineage: Eukaryota; Fungi; Neocallimastigomycota; Neocallimastigomycetes; Neocallimastigales.
AGAGAGAGACAUGCGUGCAUAUCAAUAAGCGGAGGAAAAGAAACUAACUAGGAUUCCCCUCAGUAACGGCGAGUGAAGCGGGAAGAGCUCAAAUUUGAAAUCUUCAAGGGUUCUACCUUUACGAAUUGUAGUUUAAAGAAGUGUUUUCUGUUGAGGUUUUGGUAAAAGUUCUUUGGAAUAGGACAUCAUAGAGGGUGAGAAUCCCGUAUUUGACCAUUAUUUUCAGCUGUGUGAUACACUUUCAAAGAGUCGGAUUGUUUGGGAAUGCAGUCCAAAAUGGGUGGUAAAUUUCAUCUAAAGCUAAAUAUUGGCGAGAGACCGAUAGCGAACAAGUACCGUGAGGGAAAGAUGAAAAGAACUUUGAAAAGAGAGUUAAACAGUACGUGAAAUUGUCAAAAGGGAAGCGUUUGACACCAGUGUUGUUUUCUCGAAAAUCAAUUAAAAAAGGCAGGAUUUUGUGUUGUAUUGACUUUAUCAGCUUUCUGCACUCUUUUCUUGUCUUUUUUAAUGCACUUUUCGUUUAACAAGUCAACAUCAAUUUCUUUUGUUGUAAAAGGGUCAUUGGAAGGUGGCUUUCUUUUCGGAGAAAGUGUUUAUAGCCUUUGGCCUCUGCAAUCGGAGAGAUUGAGGUCUGCAGCGUAGAUCCUUCGGGGUUAGAUACAUUUGUGCUAAGUUAUAGCAUUUUCAUAGACAACUUGUUGACUAUGAUUAGUCAUUGUAGCUUACUCGCUUAUGUUAUUUUACCUACGCUUAGGAUGUUGAUGUGAUACUGCGAGCA